GACGAACGCUGGCGGCGUGCUUAACACAUGCAAGUCGAACGAUGAUGCUGGAGCUUGCUCCAGUUGAUUAGUGGCGAACGGGUGAGUAACACGUGAGCAAUCUGCCCUUGACUCUGGAAUAACUGCGGGAAACUGUAGCUAAUACCGGAUACUUUCACCGGAAGGCAUCUUCUGGUGAUGAAAGAAUUUCGGUCAGGGAUGAGCUCGCGGCCUAUCAGCUUGUUGGUGGGGUAACGGCUCACCAAGGCGACGACGGGUAACCGGCCUGAGAGGGUGACCGGUCACACUGGGACUGAAACACGGCCCAGACUCCUACGGGAGGCAGCAGUGGGGAAUAUUGCACAAUGGGCGCAAGCCUGAUGCAGCAACGCCGCGUGAGGGAUGAAGGCCUUCGGGUUGUAAACCUCUUUUAGCAGGGAAGAAGCGAAAGUGACGGUACCUGCAGAAAAAGCACCGGCUAACUACGUGCCAGCCGCCGCGGUAA
RNAcentral lists this ribosomal RNA (484 nucleotides) under uncultured bacterium. RNAcentral describes it as "partial 16S ribosomal RNA". It matches the Rfam family "Bacterial small subunit ribosomal RNA", at positions 28 to 523 of the family's 1533-position model. The record is from RNAcentral.